RNAcentral lists this ribosomal RNA (510 nucleotides) under uncultured bacterium. RNAcentral's name for it is "bacterial SSU rRNA". It matches the Rfam family "Bacterial small subunit ribosomal RNA", at positions 17 to 518 of the family's 1533-position model. The record is from RNAcentral.
UUAUGGCUCAGGAUGAACGCUAGCGACAGGCUUAACACAUGCAAGUCGAGGGGCAGCAUAAAAGUAGCAAUACUUGGUGGCGACCGGCGCACGGGUGAGUAACGCGUAUGCAACCUACCUAUCGAGAGGGGAAUAACCCGGCGAAAGUCGGACUAAUACCGCAUAAAACAGGGGCACCGCAUGGUGAUAUUUGUUAAAGAAAUUCGCUGAUAGAUGGGCAUGCGUUCCAUUAGGUAGUUGGUGAGGUAACGGCUCACCAAGCCGACGAUGGAUAGGGGAACUGAGAGGUUGGUCCCCCACACUGGUACUGAGACACGGACCAGACUCCUACGGGAGGCAGCAGUGAGGAAUAUUGGUCAAUGGGCGAGAGCCUGAACCAGCCAAGUCGCGUUGAAGGAAGAAGGAUCUAUGGUUCGUAAACUUCUUUUGCAGGGGAAUAAAGUGCAGGACGUGUCCUGUUUUGUAUGUACCCUGAGAAUAAGGAUCGGCUAACUCCGUGCCAGCCGCCGC